GUCUCUGUGGCGCAAUCGGCUAGCGCAUUCGGCUGUUAACCGAAAGGUUGGUGGUUCGAGCCCACCCAGGGAC
RNAcentral lists this transfer RNA (73 nucleotides) under Trichinella zimbabwensis. It matches the Rfam family "tRNA". From Rfam's summary of the family: Transfer RNA (tRNA) molecules are approximately 80 nucleotides in length. Lineage: Eukaryota; Metazoa; Nematoda; Enoplea; Trichinellida; Trichinellidae. The record is from Rfam by way of RNAcentral.